RNAcentral lists this transfer RNA (77 nucleotides) under Candidatus Doudnaibacteriota bacterium. RNAcentral describes it as "Candidatus Doudnabacteria bacterium tRNA-Val". It matches the Rfam family "tRNA". From Rfam's summary of the family: Transfer RNA (tRNA) molecules are approximately 80 nucleotides in length. Their secondary structure includes four short double-helical elements and three loops (D, anti-codon, and T loops). Further hydrogen bonds mediate the characteristic L-shaped molecular structure. tRNAs have two regions of fundamental functional importance: the anti-codon, which is responsible for specific mRNA codon recognition, and the 3' end, to which the tRNAs corresponding amino acid is attached (by aminoacyl-tRNA synthetases). tRNAs cope with the degeneracy of the genetic code in two manners: having more than one tRNA (with a specific anti-codon) for a particular amino acid; and 'wobble' base-pairing, i.e. permitting non-standard base-pairing at the 3rd anti-codon position. The record is from RNAcentral. Lineage: Bacteria; Candidatus Doudnaibacteriota.
GGGCGGUUAGCUCAUCUGGUUAGAGCGCGAACUUGACGUGUUCGAGGUGGAAGGUUCGAGUCCUUCACCGCCCACCA